CAAUAGCGUAUAUUAAAGUUGUUGCGGUUAAAAAGCUCGUAGUUGGAUUUCUGCCGAGGACGACCGGUCCGCCCUCCGGGUGAGUAUCUGGUUUGGCCUGGGCAUCUUCUUGGAGAACGUAGCUGCACUUGACUGUGUGGUGCGGUGUCCAGGACUUUUACUUUGAGGAAAUUAGAGUGUUUCAAGCAGGCACACGCCUUGAAUACAUUAGCAUGGAAUAAUAAGAUAGGACCUCGGUUCUAUUUUGUUGGUUUCUAGAGCUGAGGUAAUGAUUAAUAGGGAUAGUUGGGGGCAUUCGUAUUUAACUGGCAGAGGUGAAAUUCUUGGAUUUGUUAAAGACGGACUACUGCGAAAGCAUUUGCCAAGGAUGUUUUCAUUGA
This 380-nucleotide ribosomal RNA is filed under the name uncultured eukaryote. Its description in RNAcentral is "partial 18S ribosomal RNA". It matches the Rfam family "Eukaryotic small subunit ribosomal RNA", at positions 592 to 976 of the family's 1831-position model. The record is from RNAcentral.